This 67-nucleotide transfer RNA is filed under the name human gut metagenome. It matches the Rfam family "tRNA". From Rfam's summary of the family: Transfer RNA (tRNA) molecules are approximately 80 nucleotides in length. The record is from RNAcentral. RNAcentral also lists the same sequence under 3 other names.
GGAGUGGCUCAGUUGGUAGAGCAGCUGAUUCGUAAUCAGCAGGUCGUGGGUUCGAGUCCCAUCUUCA